Small nucleolar RNA from Gossypium raimondii (Peruvian cotton), 107 nucleotides. It matches the Rfam family "Plant small nucleolar RNA R71". Rfam says of the family: R71 is a member of the C/D box family of snoRNAs containing the C (UGAUGA) and D (CUGA) box motifs. NCBI's taxonomy places the organism in Eukaryota, Viridiplantae, Streptophyta, Magnoliopsida, Malvales, Malvaceae. The record is from Rfam.
AACCCAUGAUGAGGCCACCUUCUUAAGAAGUCUUUGUAUCUCUCUCAUGCAUCAUAUAACGUCUCUAAAUCGAUCUGCACAAAGGAAGAGAUGUCAUUACUCAACUU